UGUAAGCGUCUACCAAAGUUGUUGCAGUUCAAACGCUCGUAGUCGGAAUUUGGCAGUUCCGGAUGUGUGCACGUCGUGUGCGCACUUCGCGGGGAUUGCUUUUGUGGUCUUGCGUAGGAUGAGGCACUUUUAUUAGUGAACGUCCUCACGCAACCACUUUUUACUGUGAGAAAAUCAGAGUGCUCAAAGCAGGCAUUUGCCGUGAAUGUAUUAGCAUGGAAUAAUAGAAUAGGACUUGGUUCUAUUUUGUUGGUUUGUUGGGACUGAGUAAUGAUUAAGAGGGACAGUUGGGGGCAUUUGUAUUUCGGUGCUAGAGGUGAAAUUCUUAGAUUACCGAAAGACAAACUGCUGCGAAAGCGUCUGCCAAGGAUGUUUUCAUUGA
Molecule: ribosomal RNA, 382 nt
Filed under: uncultured eukaryote
Lineage: Eukaryota
Description: partial 18S ribosomal RNA
Rfam family: Eukaryotic small subunit ribosomal RNA
Source: RNAcentral